Podarcis muralis (Common wall lizard) is the source of this 236-nucleotide non-coding RNA. NCBI's taxonomy places the organism in Eukaryota, Metazoa, Chordata, Lepidosauria, Squamata, Lacertidae. The record is from RefSeq and is a predicted model, not a curated record.
CCUGUGAGGCAGAGAGGCCUCCAUUGGACACCAGAGAGAGGCCACUGGGUGACAGAAUGAUGCCAGCAAAACCUCCUGAUCCACCUUUUCAUGGGGGCAGAAGGGAAGCAGCGGCUGUGGAACCAGAUCAGGGUCCAGUCUGCUUUGAAGAUGUGGCCGUUCGUUUCACGGACGAGGAGUGGGCGUACCUGGAUUCUGACCAGAGAGCUCUGCAUAAGGACGUCAUGGAGGAGAAU